This 685-nucleotide long non-coding RNA is filed under the name Oryzias javanicus (javanese ricefish). RNAcentral describes it as "lncRNA (ENSOJAG00000013240.1)". Lineage: Eukaryota; Metazoa; Chordata; Actinopteri; Beloniformes; Adrianichthyidae. The record is from RNAcentral.
UGUGGUUCUCAGGCGGCUGAGGCUCAAGGCCUCCUCCAUUCUGUCCAGCAGCAGCUGCAGGAGCAGAUCCAGAGUUUCCAUGACCUUCAAACCACCAGAGAAGAGGAGCAAAGUCGGUUGGAGCAGCAGCUUUCAGAGAGGGCGGCUCUCCUCCAGUCUCUCCAGGAGGAACUCCAGGAACAGAAGCAAAGCAAAUCUGAUCAAGCGAAAGAGUUUGAGCAGAGAGAGUCCGAUUUGAAACAUCAGGUGAUGCAGACUGUUGUUUUACUGCAUGUUUCAGCCCUAAACCUCAGUUUGGAAGUUCUUCCUGUUCACUUCCUCCUUCCUUUCUAAAACAGCUCCUGCUUCUGACUGAGGAGCUUGAAAAAGCAGAGAGAAACCAUGUGAUCCUUCAAGAGGAAGACUGUGGUCAGAGAUCCUCAAAGGAGGAGGAGGAAGAGCUGCUCAGAGUGACGGCGCUCACAGAGGAGAGAGAUCAGCUGCAGCAGGAGCUCAGAGAGGAAAAGCAGCUGAAAGGAGAGUUGGAAGGAAGGGUGGAAAUGCUGCUGGCAGAGAACAUGAAUUUGCAGACUGUUGGAGAGCAGAGGAAGCAGCUGGAGGAAGAUCUGCAGCACAGCAUGGAUUUGGUGAGCAGAAAGUCACUGAUUCACGUAUUUUUUAGUUUCUGUUUUUGAUGAAAAGCUGA